AGUGAACGCUGGCGGCAGGCCUAACACAUGCAAGUCGAACGGCAGCACAGGGGUAGCAAUACCCUGGGUGGCGAGUGGCGGACGGGUGAGGAAUACGUCGGAAUCUGCCUAUUUGUGGGGGGAUAACGUAGGGAAACUUACGCUAAUACCGCAUACGCCCUACAGGGGAAAGCGGAGGACCUUCGGGCUUCGCGCAGAUAGAUGAGCCGACGUCGGAUUAGCUAGUUGGCGGGGUAAAGGCCCGACCAAGGCGACGAUCCGUAGCUGGUCUGAGAGGAUGAUCAGCCACACUGGAACUGAGACACGGUCCAGACUCCUACGGGAGGCAGCAGUGGGGAAGUAUUGGACAAUGGGCGCAAGCCUGAUCCAGCCAUGCCGCGUGUGUGAAGAAGGCC
This 395-nucleotide ribosomal RNA is filed under the name uncultured bacterium. Its description in RNAcentral is "bacterial SSU rRNA". It matches the Rfam family "Bacterial small subunit ribosomal RNA", at positions 30 to 416 of the family's 1533-position model. The record is from RNAcentral.